CAGUAGCCGCGGUAAUACGUAGGUCCCGAGCGUUGUCCGGAUUUAUUGGGCGUAAGGGGAGCGCAGGCGGUUUAGUAAGUCUGAAGUUAAAGGCAUUGGCUCAACCAAUGUAUGCUUUGGAAACUGUUAGACUUGAGUGCAGAAGGGGAGAGUGGAAUUCCAUGUGUAGCGGUGAAAUGCGUAGAUAUAUGGAGGAACACCGGUGGCGAAAGCGGCUCUCUGGUCUGUCACUGACGCUGAGGCUCGAAAGCGUGGGUAGCGAACAGGAUUAGAUACCCCAGUAGUCCCUGUCUCUUAUACC
RNAcentral lists this ribosomal RNA (301 nucleotides) under uncultured bacterium. Its description in RNAcentral is "partial 16S ribosomal RNA". It matches the Rfam family "Bacterial small subunit ribosomal RNA", at positions 509 to 808 of the family's 1533-position model. The record is from RNAcentral.